Molecule: long non-coding RNA, 712 nt
Organism: Passer domesticus (house sparrow)
Lineage: Eukaryota; Metazoa; Chordata; Aves; Passeriformes; Passeridae
Exons: 2
Source: RefSeq, a predicted model, not a curated record
UCAGAAAAUAGUCUUUAUUCAGAGCUCAAUUUAAAGGCCUGUAUACAAGUGCAUCUAACACGGGAAAUAAGAGGAGCUAGAGAUGUGUGCUAUGACCUUAUUGGCAUCACAAACACGUAGUGGGAUGGCUCUUGUGACUGGACCAUUGCAAUGGAAUGAUACAGGCUCUUUAGGAAGGUCUGGCAGGGGAAACAAGGAGGGGAUGCCAUGCUCUAUGUCAGUUGGAAUUCAUGGAGCUCUGACUGCCCUUGUACAGAUGAGAAGUUGAUCAAGAGACACCAAGCUCUGUGAUUCAGCGCACAUGCUGGAGGGAAGGAAUGACAUCCAGAGCGGCCUUGACAGACUGGAGAGCUGGGCCCAUGUGAAUCUCAUGAAGCUGAACAAGGCCAAGCGUGCAAGGUCCUGCAUUCAAGCUGGGUCAAUCCCAAGUACAAAUACAGGCUGGGCAAAAAACGGAUCAAGACUAGCCGGGGAAAGAAGGACUUGGUGGUGGUGGCAGAUGAGAAGCUCAAUUUGACCUGGCAACAUGCAAUCAUUUGUCUCUCCUCUUAUGCAGAACUUACUUGAACUGCCUUUUGUCAUGAUACUCUUAAGACCCAGAAGUUGCAGGGGAGGUACAAUCAACUACCAAGUGUGGAUAAAGAUCAGUUGAGAGAAUCUGCACAAGUUCCUAUGAGCAAAAUAAAUCUGGUAGAGUAUGAGUGGAAAUUAA